UACAUAAAUAAUUACCAUAAACUCUUAUUUUUAAUCAGAAGAAUGACCAACACGUACUUUAAAGCAGGGGUAUUGCCUUUCUGGUCCUUUCGUACUAAGAAGGCUAAUUUUUAUC
This 115-nucleotide ribosomal RNA is filed under the name Meridiastra calcar. RNAcentral describes it as "partial 16S ribosomal RNA". Lineage: Eukaryota; Metazoa; Echinodermata; Asteroidea; Valvatida; Asterinidae. The record is from RNAcentral.